Molecule: ribosomal RNA, 470 nt
Filed under: beta proteobacterium Z16
Lineage: Bacteria; Pseudomonadati; Pseudomonadota; Betaproteobacteria
Description: bacterial SSU rRNA
Rfam family: Bacterial small subunit ribosomal RNA
Source: RNAcentral
CCGCGUGCGUGAAGAAGGCCUUCGGGUUGUAAAGCGCUUUUGUUCGGGAGGAAAUCCUAGGGGCUAAUANCNAUUGGGGAUGACAGUACCGGAAGAAUAAGGACCGGCUAACUACGUGCCAGCAGCCGCGGUAAUACGUAGGGUCCAAGCGUUAAUCGGAAUUACUGGGCGUAAAGGGUGCGCAGGUGGUUGAUUAAGUGUGAUGUGAAAGCCCCGGGCUCAACCUGGGAAUUGCAUUGCAAACUGGUCAACUAGAGUAUGGCAGAGGGGGGUGGAAUUCCGCGUGUAGCAGUGAAAUGCGUAGAGAUGCGGAGGAACACCGAUGGCGAAGGCAACCCCCUGGGCUAAUACUGACACUCAUGCACGAAAGCGUGGGGAGCAAACAGGAUUAGAUACCCUGGUAGUCCACGCCCUAAACGAUGUCUACUAGUUGGUGGGGAAUUCGUUCCUUAGUAACGCAGCUAACGCGU